UACAGAGGGGGCAAGCGUUAUUCGGAAUUAUUGGGCGUAAAGGGCGCGUAGGCGGCUUUGCAAGUGACGGGUGAAAUCCCUCGGCUUAACCGAGGAACUGCCUGUCAAACUGCAUGGCUUGAGACCGGGAGAGGUGAGUGGAACUGCGAGUGUAGAGGUGAAAUUCGUAGAUAUUCGCAAGAACACCAGUGGCGAAGGCGGCUCACUGGCCCGAUACUGACGCUGAGGCACGAAAGCGUGGGGAGCAAACAGG
Molecule: ribosomal RNA, 253 nt
Filed under: uncultured bacterium
Lineage: Bacteria
Description: partial 16S ribosomal RNA
Rfam family: Bacterial small subunit ribosomal RNA
Source: RNAcentral